RNAcentral lists this ribosomal RNA (580 nucleotides) under uncultured bacterium. Its description in RNAcentral is "bacterial SSU rRNA". It matches the Rfam family "Bacterial small subunit ribosomal RNA", at positions 338 to 939 of the family's 1533-position model. The record is from RNAcentral.
CCUACGGGAGGCAGCAGUGGGGAAUCUUGCGCAAUGGGCGAAAGCCUGACGCAGCAACGCCGCGUGGGGGAUGAAGGCUCUCGGGUUGUAAACCCCUUUCAGCAGGGACGAAUCAAGACGGUACCUGCAGAAGAAGCCCCGGCUAACUACGUGCCAGCAGCCGCGGUAACACGUAGGGGGCAAGCGUUGUCCGGAUUUAUUGGGCGUAAAGAGCUCGUAGGUGGCUGAGUAAGUCGGAUGUUAAAUCCCCAGGCUCAACCUGGGACACCACCCGAUACUGCUCUGGCUAGAGUCCGGUAGGGGAGCGUGGAAUUCCUGGUGUAGCGGUGAAAUGCGCAGAUAUCAGGAGGAACACCAGCGGCGAAGGCGGCGCUCUGGGCCGGUACUGACACUGAGGAGCGAAGGCGUGGGUAGCAAACAGGAUUAGAUACCCUGGUAGUCCACGCCGUAAACGUUGGGCACUAGGUGUGGGGUCUAUUCAACGGACUCCGUGCCGUAGCUAACGCAUUAAGUNCCCGCCUGGGGAGUACGCGCAGANAACUAAUANAUAGAGNNGNGAGNGCGAGCGACGAGAGGAGAG